RNAcentral lists this ribosomal RNA (253 nucleotides) under uncultured bacterium. RNAcentral describes it as "partial 16S ribosomal RNA". It matches the Rfam family "Bacterial small subunit ribosomal RNA", at positions 524 to 776 of the family's 1533-position model. The record is from RNAcentral.
UACGGGGGGAGCAAGCGUUGUUCGGAUUCACUGGGCGUAAAGGGUGCGUAGGUGGUUGGGUAAGUCUGAUGUGAAAUCUCCGGGCUCAACCCGGAAAUGGCAUUGGAUACUAUUCGGCUAGAGGUUUGGAGGGGGGACUGGAAUUCUCGGUGUAGCAGUGAAAUGCGUAGAUAUCGAGAGGAACACCAGUGGCGCAGGCGAGUCCCUGGACAACACCUGACACUGAGGCACGAAAGCUAGGGGAGCAAACAGG